Molecule: ribosomal RNA, 38 nt
Filed under: Limacella glischra
Lineage: Eukaryota; Fungi; Basidiomycota; Agaricomycetes; Agaricales; Amanitaceae
Description: partial 28S ribosomal RNA
Source: RNAcentral
UGUGGCCUCAAAUCAGGUAGGACUACCCGCUGAACUUA